CCCUUAGAUGUCCUGGGCUGCACGCGUGCUACAAUGAUACGUGCAAUGAGUUAAUCCUGCUCUGAAAGGAGUGGGUAAUCUUAUGAAUGCGUAUCGUGCUUGGGAUUGACCAUUGUAAUUAUUGGUCAUGAACGAGGAAUUCCUAGUAAGCACAAGUCAUCAGCUUGUGCUGAUUACGUCCCUGCCCUUUGUACACACCGCCCGUCGCUCCUACCGAUGAAUCGUCCGGUGAAGUUCAUGGAGUGGUGGUUGUUCCAGCUGCUGUCGAAGUGAAAUGGACCUCACGAUUUAGAGGAAGGAGAAGUCGUAACA
Molecule: ribosomal RNA, 312 nt
Filed under: uncultured eukaryote
Lineage: Eukaryota
Description: partial 18S ribosomal RNA
Rfam family: Eukaryotic small subunit ribosomal RNA
Source: RNAcentral